Homo sapiens (human) is the source of this 4981-nucleotide RNA transcript. It is a transcript of the gene named exportin 7, with no coding region annotated. The transcript has 29 exons. Lineage: Eukaryota; Metazoa; Chordata; Mammalia; Primates; Hominidae. The record is from RefSeq and is marked validated.
AGCGCGCAGGCGCAGCGGCGACGGCGUCGGCGGCGGCGGCGGCAGCGGCUCCGGCCGAGGUGCGCGCUGGGGGGGAGGGGGGGCCGGAGAGGAGCAUGAAUGGAGCAAAAUGGCGGAUCAUGUGCAGAGCCUGGCCCAACUAGAGAAUCUGUGCAAACAGCUGUAUGAAACCACAGACACAACCACUCGACUCCAGGCAGAGAAAGCCUUGGUUGAAUUUACCAACAGCCCUGAUUGCCUGAGCAAGUGCCAGCUACUCCUCGAAAGAGGAAGUUCCUCUUACUCCCAGUUACUGGCAGCUACAUGCCUUACCAAGCUUGUAUCACGCACAAACAACCCCCUACCAUUGGAACAGCGAAUAGAUAUUCGGAACUAUGUGCUCAACUACCUUGCCACUCGGCCGAAGUUGGCUACUUUCGUGACACAAGCACUUAUUCAGUUAUAUGCCAGAAUCACAAAACUGGGCUGGUUUGACUGUCAGAAGGAUGACUAUGUCUUCAGAAAUGCAAUCACAGACGUCACAAGGUUUUUACAGGAUAGUGUUGAAUACUGCAUCAUUGGUGUCACAAUUUUAUCUCAGCUAACCAAUGAAAUUAAUCAAGCAGACACCACCCAUCCUUUAACCAAGCACAGAAAAAUAGCCUCUUCUUUUCGCGAUUCAUCAUUAUUUGAUAUCUUCACACUUUCCUGCAAUUUACUAAAACAGGCUUCAGGAAAGAAUCUAAACUUGAAUGAUGAAAGUCAGCAUGGCUUGCUCAUGCAACUGCUCAAGCUCACUCAUAACUGCCUCAACUUUGACUUCAUCGGCACUUCCACUGAUGAGUCCUCAGACGACCUGUGUACAGUGCAGAUUCCCACCAGCUGGAGAUCAGCCUUCUUAGAUUCUUCAACCUUGCAGCUGUUUUUUGACCUGUAUCAUUCCAUCCCUCCUUCAUUUUCACCUCUGGUAUUAUCCUGCUUGGUACAGAUCGCUUCAGUCAGAAGAUCCCUGUUUAACAAUGCAGAGAGGGCCAAGUUUCUCUCUCAUCUUGUUGAUGGUGUUAAACGAAUACUGGAAAACCCACAGAGUUUAUCAGACCCAAACAAUUACCAUGAGUUUUGCAGACUACUGGCCCGAUUGAAGAGUAACUAUCAACUGGGAGAAUUGGUAAAGGUGGAAAACUACCCUGAGGUCAUCCGAUUGAUAGCCAACUUCACAGUGACCAGCCUACAGCACUGGGAAUUUGCUCCAAAUAGUGUGCACUAUCUUCUGAGCCUGUGGCAGCGGCUGGCAGCCUCUGUGCCGUAUGUCAAAGCCACAGAGCCCCACAUGCUGGAAACUUACACUCCUGAGGUCACCAAAGCCUACAUCACAUCCCGGUUGGAAUCUGUGCACAUCAUACUGAGAGAUGGCCUGGAAGAUCCCCUGGAGGAUACGGGGCUGGUCCAGCAGCAGUUGGACCAGCUGUCCACCAUUGGGCGUUGUGAAUAUGAGAAGACGUGUGCACUCCUCGUGCAGUUGUUUGACCAGUCGGCCCAGUCGUACCAGGAGCUGCUACAGAGCGCCAGCGCAAGCCCAAUGGACAUUGCAGUGCAGGAGGGAAGGCUGACAUGGCUGGUUUACAUUAUUGGAGCAGUGAUCGGUGGCCGGGUUUCUUUUGCCAGCACUGAUGAGCAAGACGCCAUGGAUGGUGAGCUUGUCUGUCGGGUGCUCCAGCUGAUGAACCUAACAGAUUCUCGUUUGGCCCAGGCGGGUAAUGAGAAGCUAGAGUUGGCCAUGCUGAGCUUUUUUGAACAGUUUCGUAAGAUCUACAUUGGGGACCAAGUGCAGAAAUCCUCUAAGCUGUACCGCCGACUCUCAGAAGUUCUGGGCUUGAAUGAUGAGACCAUGGUCCUAAGCGUCUUCAUAGGAAAAAUAAAUCAGCCCUGGAGUGCCCCAGAAUUCCAAGGGCCUGGGUAUGGGCCAGUGUAGCUUUGGAACCAAGUAGUGAAGAUUAUCUGAAGGAUAAUUUUUCUAGUCAACCAAAUCAUCACCAACUUGAAGUACUGGGGCCGUUGUGAACCAAUCACCUCCAAGACACUACAGCUUCUCAAUGACCUGUCCAUUGGGUACAGUAGCGUAAGGAAGCUAGUGAAGCUUAGUGCGGUACAGUUCAUGCUGAACAAUCACACGAGCGAGCACUUUUCAUUUUUGGGUAUUAACAAUCAGUCCAACCUGACAGACAUGCGGUGUCGGACUACCUUCUACACAGCACUUGGGCGUCUCCUCAUGGUGGAUUUAGGAGAGGAUGAAGAUCAGUAUGAGCAGUUCAUGCUGCCACUCACAGCAGCAUUUGAGGCUGUGGCCCAGAUGUUUAGCACCAAUAGUUUCAACGAGCAGGAGGCAAAGCGAACUCUAGUUGGCCUAGUAAGAGACCUGAGAGGGAUCGCUUUCGCUUUCAAUGCCAAGACCAGCUUCAUGAUGCUCUUUGAAUGGAUAUAUCCAUCCUAUAUGCCAAUUCUCCAACGGGCAAUUGAGCUCUGGUACCAUGAUCCAGCCUGUACUACACCUGUACUCAAGUUGAUGGCUGAAUUGGUUCAUAAUAGGUCCCAGCGACUCCAGUUUGAUGUCUCUUCCCCCAAUGGCAUCUUACUCUUCCGAGAAACCAGCAAGAUGAUAACAAUGUAUGGCAAUCGCAUCCUGACACUAGGAGAGGUCCCAAAGGAUCAGGUCUAUGCUCUGAAGCUCAAGGGCAUCUCCAUCUGCUUCUCCAUGCUGAAGGCUGCUCUCAGUGGGAGUUACGUCAAUUUCGGAGUCUUUCGUCUCUAUGGAGACGAUGCCCUGGACAAUGCUCUGCAGACCUUCAUCAAGCUGCUCCUCUCUAUUCCUCACAGUGAUCUCUUGGAUUACCCCAAGCUCAGCCAGUCUUAUUAUUCACUACUGGAAGUCCUGACCCAGGACCAUAUGAACUUUAUUGCAAGCCUGGAACCUCACGUCAUCAUGUAUAUUCUCUCUUCCAUUUCUGAAGGACUUACUGCACUUGACACCAUGGUAUGCACAGGCUGCUGCUCCUGCCUGGACCACAUUGUGACAUACCUCUUCAAGCAGCUGUCACGUAGCACCAAGAAGAGGACCACACCCCUGAACCAGGAGAGCGACCGCUUUCUGCACAUCAUGCAGCAGCAUCCAGAGAUGAUCCAGCAGAUGCUGUCCACGGUGCUGAACAUCAUCAUCUUUGAAGACUGUAGGAACCAGUGGUCUAUGUCCCGACCACUACUUGGCUUGAUAUUGCUUAAUGAAAAGUAUUUUUCUGACCUAAGAAACAGUAUUGUGAACAGCCAGCCACCGGAGAAGCAGCAGGCCAUGCACCUGUGUUUUGAGAACCUGAUGGAAGGCAUCGAGCGAAAUCUUCUUACGAAAAACAGAGACAGGUUCACCCAGAACCUGUCAGCAUUCCGUCGAGAAGUCAACGACUCAAUGAAGAAUUCCACUUAUGGCGUGAAUAGCAAUGACAUGAUGAGCUGACACCUCCUUGGACUCUACCUGUACAGAGCAGCGUCCCUUUGGUUUGGCCCAGAGGGGCGAACAAUUGCAAGGGAGAGGGCCUGGCUGAUCCUGGCUCUUUUCUCCAGGGGUGUGGGGAAAAUGGCAAAGGUCAACUAGCUGCUUCCCCAGGGAAUAGGGGUGUGAGUACACUCACUAGGGGGCAGGGCGCUGCUGGUUCCUGGGGGACUGGGUGGGAAGGGUGGUGGGAGGAGAUAAGAGAUACAAACUGAGACUCCAGCCUCUCCUCCUGGGGCCACCCAAGUGGGGAGAACCCCUAGUGUCCUGCCACAACCUGCCUUGUAUAAACAUGUACAUUUUUUCAUAACAUUUUGAACAAGGUUUAUAUUGACUCAAGUUUAAAAACAAAAAGUGUGACUGAAAAAUUUUUACAGAGUCUAGUGCACCAAUGCUGAUGUGAGGGGUUGUGUAUGCGAGUGAAGAAAAUGUGUAUUCUGGUGGCCUGAAGCUUUACUGGACAAGGAUGUGUGAGAGUGCAGAGAUAUAUUUAGUGACACAGUAGAGAGGCAAAAAAAAAGCUAAAAUUCCAAAUGUAUAUUUUUUCGUAUUGCCCUGUCCUCACCCAGAAAUGAUCAAUUCCUGUUACUGUAUUAACCCUUGUUAUUAGGAACUCUAAGCCAUGCCAGAACACCGUCCCUCCCCUUGGACCGUGUAGAUUCUGCCCUGGGUCCCUAGCCCCUUGCAGUGAUAAAUAACUCCAGCUAAAAGUGUUUGGUGUUCUUAUCUCCACCCUCUUUCCUACUUUGCUUACCCUCAUCCUCAGACAGAUGCCUCUUGCUUUUAAAAGUUGGAUUUAACGACGUGUUGUAGGGUUCUUGGUCUGUGUGAAGGCAGAGACCAGAGAGAAGGAAGUGAGCCCACUGCUCUCCUGGGAGCAAUGUGGGUGAGUCCACCAGAGGCCCUGCUGUGUGUGGCCAAUAAAUUUUAGUCUUCCCCAGCCCUCGAGGCAGUGUGUGUGGAUGUAUGCGUGUGGAUAUUUAUAUAUGUACCCUGCACUCAUGAAUGUAUGAACUGGAGGAAGUUACUACAGUGGAAGGGUUCUUAAUAACAAGGUCUACCUAGCAUGAAGUAUUUAACAUUCUCCCAUCCCUUAAAAAAUAUACAUUUUUAUAAAAUGAAAACCAUAAUAAAUGUUUUGAAUAUUAAAAAAAAUAAUAACCUACAGAGGAAAAUUAAUGGAGACAGCUAUUUGCCUUGUACUUUUUCCACAAUUGUUGCUGCUAGUUGUACACAUCUCUAGUUCAGCUCUUGCCCACGGGACACUCAUCAAUUAGGUUUUAUUUUUAUUUCUUUCCUCUACCCCCAGAAACAAGCCUGUUAAUUUUUUUUCCUUCUCCUCUGGCGACUGUGUGAUGAAUCCUUUCUUGCGUGAUCAGGUUGCGGAUAGACUUGUAAGGGUGUUUGCUGCAUACAGUGUAAGCAUUGUGACCGCCAAUAAACUUCAAUGGUUUCUACUGA